Molecule: non-coding RNA, 631 nt
Organism: Pelodiscus sinensis (Chinese soft-shelled turtle)
Lineage: Eukaryota; Metazoa; Chordata; Testudines; Trionychidae
Source: RefSeq, a predicted model, not a curated record
GGACACUGGGCUAUAUGGACCUUUGGUCUGACCCAGUAUGGCCAUUCUUGUGUUAUUACAGAUUUAGAGCCAUGCUAAAUCACAUGGAUGAUUGAAACUUCUGUGGAAUCUACAUGUAUGUGAAGAUAAAAAUUGGCCCUAGAAAGUCUAUUCUCCCCUUUGGCUGUCCUUUCUGUGUAACCAGACACUGCUUCGAUGUAGAGUUCUGAGCUGCUGAAAGAAGCAACCAACCAAUAUUAUGACAUGGCUGGUCAAAGAUUACAUUAGAGGGGUCAAUGCAUUUGCCACAGGGCUGUACCAAACCAUCAUCUUCAUCUGGACAUCAGAUUGAUGCUUGAAAUCCAUGCAAACACAACUGCACAUAAAUAGGCAUCUCUCGCAUUCCGCUUUCACCAAGGAUUUUAAGCACUAGCUGUUAGAUUGUGCAGCUAAGAUUAUUUUAGUUUGUAAAGGCAAUGAAUCAAUCCCCUCCCUGGUGAGUCAAGAGAAUUGAUUCAUCAUUGCCCCUGCACUUUGUGUGACACUGGUUAAAGCAGGUGUAAAACAGAUACCACAUCAUAAAGGUAACACUUAAAACCCAAUGUAAUUGGUGUGUGUCUAGACUACAGAGUUUUGUCGACAAAAGUGGACU